Non-coding RNA from Heterocephalus glaber (naked mole-rat), 1151 nucleotides. NCBI's taxonomy places the organism in Eukaryota, Metazoa, Chordata, Mammalia, Rodentia, Bathyergidae. The record is from RefSeq and is a predicted model, not a curated record.
AUGUACCAAUAAAAGAACUUAAGAACAACAACAACAACAAAUCCUGGAGUGGUGUGGGUCUCUUGUAUUCUCUGUGAGGCUCUGGUGAACAUAUACAAAAUCAAUUAGAUGGAGCAUAAUGUGGGUAAAAAUCCCAUUUUGCCACUUUUGCACAUGUGCACACACCUUGUCAUACCAAAUGGGUAAAUAUAUAGAUUGUAUGUGUCCUGUAUCCCUCAGGGAAAUAUACUGACCUGCACAGCUGGCUACUGUUAUGCAAAGUACAAAUUUACAGUAGAAAGUAAGGAAUGGGUCCGUUGGACCCAGUGUUCUGCUUAGUGGGUUAGGUUCCAAUGGCUGACUGAAUUCCUUGUCACUGAACCAGAGAACCUGGUCUUUACUUGUGAGAAAUGUAUUCAUUUGCCCAGCCCCAAGGAAUGGACCCAGAGGCACAAAGAACGGCAAAAGUGAGGCUUUAAUUCAGUCUUGCAAGACUGGGCGUCUGCUAUGCAAGAAGACACACAACAGGGCAGUUACAGCUCAAGCCUCAGGAGAUCUCUCAGGAGAGGAGUCAGCCGCAUCUGGAGAAACUGGGUCCCACGUCUCACAUGAUGCCUGUGGCCAUUUUCUCAGAGGAGUCAAAGUGGGAAACACAGUAGCCGAGGGCAGAAGGUCCCACUCCAGGAUGAAAAGGAGUCAAGCCUGACUCUGGAUACUCAAGCUUGCUUAGAGCUUUUGAAGAUGGAUGUAAGGGAGUCCAUAGUCAACCAUCUUGUGUGAUCUUUGCUUCAAGGGAACUCUUUGUUCCUGCACAAGUUUUUGCAAAACUACCAAGUAUUUGGGACCACGCAGCAGGUGCUGGAUCUGCUGUUGAAAAGGUACUGUUUGACUAGUGACGGCUGGCACCGUCACAAGUGGCGCCCGAACAGGGACCUGAGCAUGGAGGACAAGGUGAAGGACGCCACCAGAUUGUGAGCUCGGAUAAGUAAGUAGGGGGCGGUGAUAUAAGAUAUAAGGACUACUAAUAGUUGGAUGCUAUAAGAUAUGGGGACCAGUAGUAGUCGGAUGCUGUUUGCUCAGAUAUUAAAAAGGAUGCUUCGGUCCCGUGGAGCUAAGGUAGGGCAACAGCAGUUAUGUCAUUUUUUAGAAUUUGUGGAGAGAGUCUGCCCAUG